This 225-nucleotide long non-coding RNA is filed under the name Trifolium pratense (red clover). Its description in RNAcentral is "long non-coding RNA (TPRA_LNC014423)". The record is from RNAcentral. Lineage: Eukaryota; Viridiplantae; Streptophyta; Magnoliopsida; Fabales; Fabaceae.
UUUUUCUCUCUCCUCCCCUCUAGCCGCCGCGGGCAUAUUCCCUUCCCUACCUUUCAUCAAUUUAUUUUCAUUUCUUCCCCGGUCAAGCAUGAAUUCAAGGGAGCUAAGUCAGAAUCUUCAUAGAUUGACAAGAACAAGGCGUCAAAGGUAGUAAAAAUCCUGACUUUUUGUUUCUUAAGCUUGGCAAGAAAUUCUUGAGAUUUAGGAGUUGAUUUUCUUGAAUUU